CGGCUUCAAAGUCAAGGAAACAAGGAGACGCGGCGAUGGCAAUGACAUGGGGAGAAGGGGGCAGCGCCCCCGGGGCCGGAGGAGGGUGGGAGUGGAUGCCAGUGCCCCCGCCCGAGGGACGCCCCUCUUCCGGCCCCAGGCCGUGCCCGCUGGCAUCAGGGGGUGCUGUAGCUGUGGGGUUAUUAUGCCUCGAUUUCUGAGCGGGAAGAGGGUCUUGAAUUUGACCCCCCACCCCCAACAAGUUCUUGUUUGCUAAAAAUGCUGCAUAGAUGAAAAAUUAGUCUUCAUUUCCUUUCUCUCUACUGGCUCUUCUGAAUUCUGAGAGGAAACCUUAUAGGUGGGGACGCAACUUGCAGGAAAGUGGAGCUGGCCUGCUGCUUUAUGUAAAACCGAGAGCAGGAGAUAAGGGGACAGCUCAGUAUUGCUCCGACAGGUUACUUGGUGCAAGUUUAUCAUUGACUAUAACUGCAAUUAGGAAAAGCUUUCAUGACCAAAUGACUUGCGUUUGUUUGCUUCAGGAGGUGGCUGUCACUAAACUUCAGAAGUUCAGUAUCUUGGCUUGUGGCAGUGGACAGAUUUUGAGCUGAAGGAGAAAUAAUUUGUGAAUCUUAGUUAUUAGAUUUAUACUUGCACUACAGAAAUGGAAUGCUUUGAAAGAAAACUUAUAACAUAUGGCUGUUUUUUUUUUUAUCUAAAGAUUGUUAUUACAGCACCCAGAGGUCUCAAACAGCACAGUUCCUGACUCAAAGGAUCUAGCAUCCACUGAAGACAUGAUUACUGAUAUUACUGCCACUUAGGAAAAAAAACUGUGGUGGCAUGUUGGAAAACUGGAAAGAAGAUUUCCCUGUUGAAGAGGAUUCUUUAUUUAUGGAAUAAUCUCUACUACCUUACUGGAAUCUGUACCAAACAGACUUGUAGAGCCAUCUCUCUGCCAGAAGUACAUAUUUCAGUGUUGGACUAAAGAAUUUUAAUUGUAUUUAUUGGCAGCAUUUCAGGCCAUAUGAAAGAUUCCUCUGUUUUAAAAUUUAAGUUAUAUUAAAUUUCUCAUGUGAAAACUAAUUGGUUUACACUUUUAACAAUCUUAAACAGUGUUUCAUAAGUAAUUUCAGCAUCUCAUGUAUAAAUACUUGUUUAAAUGCCUGAAAAAGUAGGAUGAAAAGCUCCCAUUUUAACCAAGGUAUAGAAGUUAAAUUACUGUGAACUUGUUUUUACUGUGGCAGUGCAAUGCCUUACUUGUAAGGGUGCUUUUGGUAUCCCUUUGUGAAGCAGUUUGGAAACAGCUGAUGUAAGGUUAUAAAUGUAAUAAAGUUGAUCUGUUUUUUACUGUAAAUACACAACUUGCGGUGA
Molecule: long non-coding RNA, 1347 nt
Organism: Dermochelys coriacea (leatherback sea turtle)
Lineage: Eukaryota; Metazoa; Chordata; Testudines; Dermochelyidae
Exons: 2
Source: RefSeq, a predicted model, not a curated record